GACGGUGUCCAAACGAUCGCUGGAUACGAUAUCCGGAGGAAAGUCCGAACACCGGAGGGCAGGGUGCUCCAUAACAUGGAGUCACGGUAACGUGAAGGCUCGUGCCACAGAAACGAUACCGCCCCGCACUCACUUUUGCUGUUAAAUGUUGGACAGGGUCAAGCCGUUGACGGCAGAAGCGAGUGCGGGGUAAGGGUGCAACGGUGCGGUAAGAGCGCACCAGGUCCCCGGGCGACCGGGGAUGCUCGGUAAACCCCACCCGGUGCAAGACCAAGUAGGGAAGCGUUCGAGGGUGGCCCGCCCAAAGCUUCCGGGUAGGUCGCAAGAGGCGACGGGCAACCGUUGUCCACAGAUGAAUGAUCGUUGUCCGCUUCAGGCUAACCUGCUGCGGAAACAGAAUUCGGCUUACGGACACCGUCAACC
This 423-nucleotide RNase P RNA is filed under the name Desulfobacterales bacterium. Its description in RNAcentral is "RNase P RNA component class A". It matches the Rfam family "Bacterial RNase P class A". From Rfam's summary of the family: Ribonuclease P (RNase P) is a ubiquitous endoribonuclease, found in archaea, bacteria and eukarya as well as chloroplasts and mitochondria. Lineage: Bacteria; Pseudomonadati; Thermodesulfobacteriota; Desulfobacteria; Desulfobacterales. The record is from RNAcentral.